GAUGAACGCUGGCGGCGUGCCUAAUACAUGCAAGUCGAGCGAACAGACGAGGAGCUUGCUCCUCUGACGUUAGCGGCGGACGGGUGAGUAACACGUGGAUAACCUACCUAUAAGACUGGGAUAACUUCGGGAAACCGGAGCUAAUAUCGGAUAAUAUAUUGAACCGCAUGGUUCAAUAGUGAAAGACGGUUUUGCUGUCACUUAUAGAUGGAUCCGCGCCGCAUUAGCUAGUUGGUAAGGUAACGGCUUACCAAGGCGACGAUGCGUAGCCGACCUGGGAGCGUGAUAGGCCACGCUGGAAGUGAGACAGGGUCCAGACUCCUGCGGGAGGCACCAGUAGGGAAUCGUCCGCAAUGGUGGGAAGCCUGACGGAGCAACGCCACGCGUGUGAUGAAGGCCUUCGGAUCGUAAAAAUCUGUUACUGGGGAAGAACAACUGUGUAAGUAACUAUGGACGUCUUGACGGUACCUAAUCAGAAAGCCACGGCUAACUACGUG
RNAcentral lists this ribosomal RNA (497 nucleotides) under uncultured bacterium. RNAcentral's name for it is "partial 16S ribosomal RNA". It matches the Rfam family "Bacterial small subunit ribosomal RNA", at positions 28 to 507 of the family's 1533-position model. The record is from RNAcentral.